UGGCAGUGUAACCUAAUCGAUAAGGUACCCAUCUCAUAAGUGGAAGUAUGCAGGUUUAAAUCCUGCCACUGCUAA
This 75-nucleotide transfer RNA is filed under the name Calothrix sp. NIES-4105. Its description in RNAcentral is "tRNA-Met". It matches the Rfam family "tRNA". Rfam says of the family: Transfer RNA (tRNA) molecules are approximately 80 nucleotides in length. Their secondary structure includes four short double-helical elements and three loops (D, anti-codon, and T loops). The record is from RNAcentral. RNAcentral also lists the same sequence under 1 other name. Lineage: Bacteria; Bacillati; Cyanobacteriota; Cyanophyceae; Nostocales; Calotrichaceae.